Molecule: ribosomal RNA, 491 nt
Filed under: Sancus acoreensis
Lineage: Eukaryota; Metazoa; Arthropoda; Arachnida; Araneae; Tetragnathidae
Description: partial 16S ribosomal RNA
Rfam family: Bacterial large subunit ribosomal RNA (bases 1-288)
Source: RNAcentral
CCCUAUCAAACUUUACUUUAGUUUAACUGGGGCAGUUAAUUAAUAAAAAUUUUAAUAAAGAUUAAGUACUAAAUAGANNNCCCAACANUAGUUGAUUACANUGAACAAGUUACUGUAGGGAUAACAGCGUAAUAUAUAUCUAAAGUUCUUAUUUUGAUAUAAGUUUGCGACCUCGAUGUUGAAUUNAUAUUACUUUCAAGCGCAAGAGCCUGAAAAGUGGGUCUGUUCGACCCCUAAAUAUAUACAUGAUUUGAGUUCAAAUCGGUGUAAACCAGAUUGGUUUCUAUCUAUUNUUAUUUGUGUCUUAGUACGAAAGGACCUGAAACAAUAUUAUAUAAUNAUUUAUAUGGCAGAAAAAUGCUUUAGAUUUAGGAUCUAAUUAUAAUAGAUUAUUAUACUCUAUUUAACUUGCCUAAUCUCUGUUAUUAGAAUCCUUAUCGCAGUAGCUUUUUAUACCCUCCUAGAGCGAAAAAUUCUAAGCUACAUCCAAA